RNAcentral lists this transfer RNA (76 nucleotides) under Bacteroidetes bacterium ADurb.Bin013. Its description in RNAcentral is "tRNA-Val". It matches the Rfam family "tRNA". From Rfam's summary of the family: Transfer RNA (tRNA) molecules are approximately 80 nucleotides in length. Their secondary structure includes four short double-helical elements and three loops (D, anti-codon, and T loops). Lineage: Bacteria; Pseudomonadati; Bacteroidota. RNAcentral also lists the same sequence under 3 other names. The record is from RNAcentral.
GAGUUGUUAGCUCAGCUGGUUUAGAGCACUACCUUGACAGGGUAGGGGUCACUGGUUCGAAUCCAGUACAACUCAC